Molecule: ribosomal RNA, 1372 nt
Filed under: uncultured bacterium
Lineage: Bacteria
Description: bacterial SSU rRNA
Rfam family: Bacterial small subunit ribosomal RNA
Source: RNAcentral
GAUGAACGCUGGCGGCGUGCCUAAUACAUGCAAGUCGAGCGAACAGACGAGAAGCUUGCUUCUCUGAUGUUAGCGGCGGACGGGUGAGUAACACGUGGAUAACCUACCUAUAAGACUGGGAUAACUUCGGGAAACCGGAGCUAAUACCGGAUAAUAUUUUGAACCGCAUGGUUCAAAAGUGAAAGACGGUCUUGCUGUCACUUAUAGAUGGAUCCGCGCUGCAUUAGCUAGUUGGUAAGGUAACGGCUUACCAAGGCAACGAUGCAUAGCCGACCUGAGAGGGUGAUCGGCCACACUGGAACUGAGACACGGUCCAGACUCCUACGGGAGGCAGCAGUAGGGAAUCUUCCGCAAUGGGCGAAAGCCUGACGGAGCAACGCCGCGUGAGUGAUGAAGGUCUUCGGAUCGUAAAACUCUGUUAUUAGGGAAGAACAUAUGUGUAAGUAACUGUGCACAUCUUGACGGUACCUAAUCAGAAAGCCACGGCUAACUACGUGCCAGCAGCCGCGGUAAUACGUAGGUGGCAAGUGUUAUCCGGAAUUAUUGGGCGUAAAGCGCGCGUAGGCGGUUUUUUAAGUCUGAUGUGAAAGCCCACGGCUCAACCGUGGAGGGUCAUUGGAAACUGGAAAACUUGAGUGCAGAAGAGGAAAGUGGAAUUCCAUGUGUAGCGGUGAAAUGCGCAGAGAUAUGGAGGAACACCAGUGGCGAAGGCGACUUUCUGGUCUGUAACUGACGCUGAUGUGCGAACGCGUGGGGAUCAAACAGGAUUAGAUACCCUGGUAGUCCACGCCGUAAACGAUGAGUGCUAAGUGUUAGGGGGUUUCCGCCCCUUAGUGCUGCAGCUAACGCAUUAAGCACUCCGCCUGGGGAGUACGACCGCAAGGUUGAAACUCAAAGGAAUUGACGGGGACCCGCACAAGCGGUGGAGCAUGUGGUUUAAUUCGAAGCAACGCGAAGAACCUUACCAAAUCUUGACAUCCUUUGACAACUCUAGAGAUAGAGCUUUCCCCUUCGGGGGACAAAGUGACAGGUGGUGCAUGGUUGUCGUCAGCUCGUGUCGUGAGAUGUUGGGUUAAGUCCCGCAACGAGCGCAACCCUUAAGCUUAGUUGCCAUCAUUAAGUUGGGCACUCUAAGUUGACUGCCGGUGACAAACCGGAGGAAGGUGGGGAUGACGUCAAAUCAUCAUGCCCCUUAUGAUUUGGGCUACACACGUGCUACAAUGGACAAUACAAAGGGCAGCGAAACCGUGAGGUCAAGCAAAUCCCAUAAAGUUGUUCUCAGUUCGGAUUGUAGUCUGCAACUCGACUACAUGAAGCUGGAAUCGCUAGUAAUCGUAGAUCAGCAUGCUACGGUGAAUACGUUCCCGGGUCU